RNAcentral lists this ribosomal RNA (631 nucleotides) under Scrippsiella sp. CCMP2818. RNAcentral describes it as "eukaryotic LSU rRNA". It matches the Rfam family "Eukaryotic large subunit ribosomal RNA", at positions 42 to 662 of the family's 3401-position model. The record is from RNAcentral. Lineage: Eukaryota; Dinophyceae; Peridiniales; Peridiniaceae.
AUAAGUAAGCGGAGGAAAAGAAACUAAACAGGAUUCCCUCAGUAAUGGCGAAUGAACAGGGAUGAGCUCAGUAUGGAAAUUGGGGCCUGUGGCCUUGAAUUGUAGUCUGGAGAUGUACUACCAACUGGGGCGCAGAUGUAAGCCUCUUGGAAAAGAGCAUCAAUGAGGGUGAGAGUCCCGCUUGGCAUCUGCAGUCCCCAGUGCACGGUGUACCUUCUAAGAGUCACGUUCCUCGGGAUUGGAGCGCAAAUUGGGUGGUAAAUUUCAUCUAAAGCUAAAUAUUGCUUCGAGACCGAUAGCAAACAAGUACCAUGAGGGAAAGGUGAAAAGGACUUUGAAAAGAGAGUUAAAAGUGCCUGAAAUUGCUGAAAGGGAAGCGAAUGGAGCCAGCGUACCUUGGCAAGAUUGCUGCGUGUCAAUGUGAUUGCUUGCUUCCUCAACGUAAGUGUGGUUGUAAGUCUUGAGCAAGACAUGCGUGGUGCUUCUUGCCUUGUGUGUCACCGCCAGCUCGCAGCUGAGGAAAACUUCAGGGACAUGGUAGCCUGCCCCCGGGUGUGUGAAUGUGCCUGCUGGAACUCGUUUGCGGGCUGCUUGGUGACUAAAUGGUUCCAUCCGACCCGUCUUGAAACAC